GCCACUGUAGCUCAGCGGUAGAGCGGCGGUUUCGUAAACCGCAGGCCGGGGGUUCAAACCCCUCCAGUGGCU
RNAcentral lists this transfer RNA (72 nucleotides) under Thermoplasmata archaeon. RNAcentral's name for it is "tRNA-Thr". It matches the Rfam family "tRNA". From Rfam's summary of the family: Transfer RNA (tRNA) molecules are approximately 80 nucleotides in length. Their secondary structure includes four short double-helical elements and three loops (D, anti-codon, and T loops). The record is from RNAcentral. Lineage: Archaea; Methanobacteriati; Thermoplasmatota; Thermoplasmata.